UACGGGGGAUGCAAGCGUUAUCCGGAAUCAUUGGGCGUAAAGCGCCUGUAGGUUGUUUAAUAAGUCUGUUGUUAAAGACUAGGGCUUAACCCUGGGAAAGCAAUGGAAACUACUAGACUAGAGUAUGGCAGGGGUAGGGGGAAUUUCUAGUGUAGCGGUGAAAUGCGUAGAUAUUAGAAAGAACACCGGUGGCGAAAGCGCUCUACUGGACCAUUACUGACACUCAGAGGCGAAAGCUAGGGUAGCGAAAGGGAUUAGAUACCCCUGUAGUCCUAGCCGUAAACGAUGGAUACUAGAUGUUGCAUAAAUGUGCAGUAUUUUAGCUAACGCGUUAAGUAUCCCGCCUGGGGAGUACGCUCGCAAGGGUG
This 368-nucleotide ribosomal RNA is filed under the name uncultured phototrophic eukaryote. RNAcentral describes it as "SSU rRNA". It matches the Rfam family "Bacterial small subunit ribosomal RNA", at positions 524 to 896 of the family's 1533-position model. The record is from RNAcentral.